This 426-nucleotide ribosomal RNA is filed under the name uncultured bacterium. RNAcentral describes it as "bacterial SSU rRNA". It matches the Rfam family "Bacterial small subunit ribosomal RNA", at positions 29 to 506 of the family's 1533-position model. The record is from RNAcentral.
ACUAACGCUGACGGCGUGCCUAAUCUAUGCAAGUUGAUGGAAUUUUUCGCAAGAAAAAUCCCAUGGCAGACGAGUGAGUAACGCGUAGGAACCAACCCUUUACUUGACCAUAACCGUGCGAAAGCAUGAGUAAUAGUCAAUAGUCUCUUCGGAGUAAAGUUUGCAAUUUAUUGCAAACGGUAGAGGACGGGCCUGCGUCCUAUCAGCUUGUUGGCGGGGUAAUUGCCCACCAAGGCUAUGACGGGUAGGGGGCGUGAGAGCGUGACCCCCCACGAUGGCACUGAGACACGGGCCAUACAUCUACGGAUGGCAGCAAGUAGGAAUAUUGCACAAUGGUCGUCACAGACGACUGAUGCAGCGACGCCGUGUGUGGGAAGAAGCUUUUCGGAGUGUAAACCAAUGUUAAGAAGGGGCGGCUAACUUCGU